UACGUAGGGUGCGAGCGUUGUCCGGAAUUAUUGGGCGUAAGGGGCUCGUAGGCGGUUUGUCGCGUCGGGAGUGAAAUCCACUGGCUUAACUGGUGGCUUGCUUUCGAUACGGGCAGACUGGAGGUAUGCAGGGGAGAACGGAAUUCCUGGUGUAGCGAUGAAAUGCGCAGAUAUCAGGAGGAACACCGGUGGCGAAGGCGGUUCUCUGGGCAUGUCCUGACGCUGAGGAGCGAAAGUGUGGGGAGCGAACAGG
Molecule: ribosomal RNA, 253 nt
Filed under: uncultured bacterium
Lineage: Bacteria
Description: partial 16S ribosomal RNA
Rfam family: Bacterial small subunit ribosomal RNA
Source: RNAcentral